GACGAACGCUGGCGGCGUGCUUAACACAUGCAAGUCGAACGAAGAGCGACGGAAGCUUGCUUCUAUCAAUCUUAGUGGCGAACGGGUGAGUAACGCGUAAUCAACCUGCCCUUCAGAGGGGGACAACAGUUGGAAACGACUGCUAAUACCGCAUACGAUCUAAUCUCGGCAUCGAGGAUGGAUGAAAGGUGGCCUCUACAUGUAAGCUAUCACUGAAGGAGGGGAUUGCGUCUGAUUAGCUAGUUGGAGGGGUAACGGCCCACCAAGGCGAUGAUCAGUAGCCGGUCUGAGAGGAUGAACGGCCACAUUGGGACUGAGACACGGCCCAGACUCCUACGGGAGGCAGCAGUGGGGAAUCUUCCGCAAUGGACGAAAGUCUGACGGAGCAACGCCGCGUGAGUGAUGACGGCCUUCGGGUUGUAAAGCUCUGUUAAUCGGGACGAAAGGCCUUCUUGCGAAUAGUUAGAAGGAUUG
Molecule: ribosomal RNA, 474 nt
Filed under: Veillonella parvula
Lineage: Bacteria; Bacillati; Bacillota; Negativicutes; Veillonellales; Veillonellaceae
Description: bacterial SSU rRNA
Rfam family: Bacterial small subunit ribosomal RNA
Source: RNAcentral